RNAcentral lists this ribosomal RNA (57 nucleotides) under Cephalotrichum verrucisporum. RNAcentral describes it as "partial 18S ribosomal RNA". The record is from RNAcentral. Lineage: Eukaryota; Fungi; Ascomycota; Sordariomycetes; Microascales; Microascaceae.
UGGAAGUAAAAAGUCGUAACAAGGUCUCCGUUGGUGAACCAGCGGGAGGGAUCAUUA